GACACUUAUGUAAUGAAAGUUUGAGGAACGUUUAAAGGCCAUUCAGUUCUCCUGAACGGCUGGAAUAGUUUGAUUAUAUUUCAUUGCUCCGCGCUUCACAGAGGGAGGUAGAGAAAUGGAAGUGUAUAGAGGAUGAUUGUCGUCCAACAUGAGCUUUUGUUUGGACAAAACUUUUUCCUUUCGACUGUAUUUUCUUUUCAUUGCAUGUUUUCUGGUAAUUAGGUUUGCCAGCAUGACUGCUUGCUGAAUGAAAUAAAUGGAUUGUGUUUGUUUUGAAGGCUUUCAGGUGGUUGGAAUACAAGGAAAACCAAACCGAGUGGAAACCUGAGUAAGGGCUUGGCCUACCUGGUUUUGAGGACACCUGCUCCAUGACGCUGGUGUCUCAGGAGACAACAUCUACAGCAACACACUGAUGACAUCUACACCAACACACUGACCAAACAUCUACAUCAACACACUGACCAAACAGAUCCAGCCGCACCCCUCAGAGAGCACACUACAGAGCCAGCUUCAGGAGCAUGUCAACUGGGAGCACACAGAUACAACCCUCAGAGAGCACACUACAGAGCCAGCUUCAGGAGCAUGUCAACUGGGGGCAACUGUCUCAGCCUCCAGUAUUUAUGCUGCAGUAGUUUAUGUGUCGGGGGGCUAGGGUCAGUUUGUUAUAUCUGGAGUACUUCUCCUGUCCUAUUCGGUGUCCUGUGUGAAUCUAAGUGUGCGUUCUCUAAUUCUCUCCUUCUCUCUUUCUUUCUCUCUCUCGGAGGACCUGAGCCCUAGGACCAUGUCCCAGGACUACCUGACAUGAGGACUCCUUGCUGUCCCCAGUCCACCUGGCCAUGCUCCUGCUCCAGUUUCAACUGACCUGAGCCCUAGGACCGUGCCCCAGGACUACCUGACAUGAAGGCUCCUUGCUGUCCCCAGUCCACCUGACUGUGCUGCUGCUCCAGUUUCAACUGUUCUGCCUUAUUAUUAUUCGACCAUGCUGGUCAUUUAUGAACAUUUGAACAUCUUGGUCAUGUUCUGUUAUAAUCUCUACCUGGCACAGCCAGAAGAGGACUGGCCACCCCACAUAGCCCGGUUCCUCUCUAGGUUUCUUCCUAGGUUUUGGCCUUUCUAGGGAGUUUUUCCUAGCCACCGUGCUUUUACACCUGCAUUGUUUGCUGUUUGGGGUUUUAGGCUGGGUUUCUGUACAGCACUUUGAGAUAUCAGCUGAUGUACGAAGGGCUAUAUAAAUAAAUUUGAUUUGAUUUGAUUUGAUUUGCAUAGAGAUACACCCCUCAGAGAGCACACUACAGAGCCAGCUUCAGGAGCAUGACAACUGGGAGCACACAGAUACACCCCUCAGAGAGCACACUACAGAGCCAGCUUCAGGAGCAUGUCAACUGGGAGCACACAGAUACACCCCUCAGAGAGCACACUACAGAGCCAGCUUCAGGAGCAUGACAACUGGGAGCACACAGAUACACCCCUCAGAGAGCACACUACAGAGCCAGCUUCAGGAGCAUGUCAACUGGGAGCACACAGAUACACCCCUCAGAGAGCACACUACAGAGCCAGCUUGAGGAGCAUGUCAACUGGGAGCACACAGAUACACCCCUCAGAGAGCAACCUACAGAGCCAGCUUGAGGAGCAUGGCAACUGGGAGCAUAGAUAUACACUGUCCUCAGAAGCAUCCUCCACCGCUUAUGAAGCGAGGAAGUAGAGAAUGAGAUUGAGAUCUGAAAUUCCACUCUGGCUUUAUUUAUAUUGUGUGUUGGAGACAGUUUUUUUUGUAAUUUUGUAUUAUGUGUUUAUCAUUAAAUAUGUAUCGUGUUUUUGAGGAACUGAAGUAACGAAGACCAUAGACAAGCAAUGGCACAGAUGUUGAUUGUUUUGGUUCCUUAUUUGAUUAGUGAAUGAUAUUUAGCUUGGAAAAGUGUGCCCUCUCCUU
Molecule: long non-coding RNA, 1930 nt
Organism: Oncorhynchus keta (chum salmon)
Lineage: Eukaryota; Metazoa; Chordata; Actinopteri; Salmoniformes; Salmonidae
Exons: 3
Source: RefSeq, a predicted model, not a curated record